CGGUGAUAAUGGGCCCGUCUUCCGGUAGGGCUGCAAGUUUUUUACCAUUUUCUUUUUUCUCUCGGAGAUACUUAGAUUCUUAGAAGAGUAAGGUUAUGUAAGGGCACGUGUUUAUGUAAUUUUACGAAAUUACAAGCCAAUUUCAGGCGAUGAAAUGAUAAGGAGGAAAAAUAGCUCUACACAGACUAUGCCAUUUUACUAUAAAGUUAUUUACCUAACUAUUUAUUGUAAAAAAUAAAAGUCAACAAAUUUUGUGUCUAACGUUUUGUUUUUCACGAUGUAAAUGGGAUGGAACUAAUAGUGAAUCUACGUGGACCUGUCAUGCUAGAGGGAAGCAGAAAGGACGUUUGGUAUUUUUGUUAGGACGUAAAAAACGUUUGCCGUGUGGUUGGCGAUGGGGAAGAUCAACUGAUGCAACGAUCUGUAAACGUU
Bombus pyrosoma is the source of this 432-nucleotide long non-coding RNA. RefSeq lists it as uncharacterized. The transcript has 3 exons. The record is from RefSeq and is a predicted model, not a curated record. Lineage: Eukaryota; Metazoa; Arthropoda; Insecta; Hymenoptera; Apidae.